Molecule: ribosomal RNA, 548 nt
Filed under: Ausejanus luteoelytratus
Lineage: Eukaryota; Metazoa; Arthropoda; Insecta; Hemiptera; Miridae
Description: partial 16S ribosomal RNA
Rfam family: Bacterial large subunit ribosomal RNA
Source: RNAcentral
UCGCCUGUUUAUCAAAAACAUGGUUUUUUGUUUAUAUAAAAAAUUUGGCCUGCCCAGUGAUUAUUAAAUGGCUGCAGUAUAUUGACUGUACAAAGGUAGCAUAAUCAUUUGUCUUUUAAUUGAAGUCUGGAAUGAAUGGUUGGAUGAAAAAUUUACUUUCUUUAUUUUAAAAAAAUAAUUUAAUUUUUGUAUUAAAAAGUAUAAAUAUUAAUAAAAGACGAGAAGACCCUAUAGAACUUUAUUUUUUUAUAUUAGUUAUUUUUUAGUGAAUGAUUAUUAAUUAAUAAAAGAAAAUUUUGUUGGGGUGACAAAAAAAAAUUUAUAACUUUUUUUAAUUUAUUCAUAUAUAUAUGAUUUAUUGAUCCUUUAUUAAGGAAAAAAGAUUAAGUUACCUUAGGGAUAACAGCGUUAUUAUUUCAGAGAGUUCAUAUUGAUGAAAUAGUUUGCGACCUCGAUGUUGGAUUAAAAUUAAUUUCAGGAGUAGAAAAUUGAAAUAUUAGGUCUGUUCGACCUUUAAAUUUUUACAUGAUCUGAGUUCAAACCGGAGA